AUACGGAGGGUGCAAGCGUUACUCGGAAUCACUGGGCGUAAAGGACGCGUAGGCGGGUUGGCAAGUCAGAUGUGAAAUCCUACAGCUUAACUGUAGAACUGCAUUUGAAACUGCUAACCUAGAGUAUGGGAGGGGGAGAUGGAAUUAGUGGUGUAGGGGUAAAAUCCGUAGAUAUCACUAGGAAUACCGAAAGCGAAGGCGAUCUCCUGGAACAUAACUGACGCUCAGGCGCGAAAGCGUGGGGAGCAAACAGGAUUAGAAACCCUAGUAGUCC
This 274-nucleotide ribosomal RNA is filed under the name uncultured bacterium. RNAcentral describes it as "partial 16S ribosomal RNA". It matches the Rfam family "Bacterial small subunit ribosomal RNA", at positions 523 to 796 of the family's 1533-position model. The record is from RNAcentral.